RNAcentral lists this ribosomal RNA (450 nucleotides) under uncultured bacterium. RNAcentral's name for it is "bacterial SSU rRNA". It matches the Rfam family "Bacterial small subunit ribosomal RNA", at positions 354 to 796 of the family's 1533-position model. The record is from RNAcentral.
GUAGGGAAUUUUGGACAAUGGGCGAAAGCCUGAUCCAGCCAUGCCGCGUGCAGGAUGAAGGCCUUCGGGUUGUAAACUGCUUUUGUACGGAACGAAAAGACUCUGGUUAAUACCUGGGGUCCAUGACGGUACCGUAAGAAUAAGCACCGGCUAACUACGUGCCAGCAGCCGCGGUAAUACGUAGGGUGCAAGCGUUAAUCGGAAUUACUGGGCGUAAAGCGUGCGCAGGCGGUUAUAUAAGACAGAUGUGAAAUCCCCGGGCUCAACCUGGGAACUGCAUUUGUGACUGUAUAGCUAGAGUACGGCAGAGGGGGAUGGAAUUCCGCGUGUAGCAGUGAAAUGCGUAGAUAUGCGGAGGAACACCGAUGGCGAAGGCAAUCCCCUGGGCCUGUACUGACGCUCAUGCACGAAAGCGUGGGGAGCAAACAGGAUUAGAAACCCUAGUAGUCC